This 82-nucleotide transfer RNA is filed under the name Podarcis lilfordi (Lilford's wall lizard). RNAcentral describes it as "tRNA.Thr". Lineage: Eukaryota; Metazoa; Chordata; Lepidosauria; Squamata; Lacertidae. The record is from RNAcentral.
GCAUACAGUGUGGUGUAGUGGUUAAGAGCAGUAGACUCGUAAUCUAGUGAACCGGGUUUGAUUCCCCGCUCCUCCACAUGCA